Molecule: ribosomal RNA, 480 nt
Filed under: uncultured bacterium
Lineage: Bacteria
Description: partial 16S ribosomal RNA
Rfam family: Bacterial small subunit ribosomal RNA
Source: RNAcentral
GACGAACGCUGGCGGCGUGCUUAACACAUGCAAGUCGAACGAUGAAGAAAAGAAUUGAAGCUUCGGCAGAAAUUCAUUUCGGAUUAGUGGCAGACGGGUGAGUAACGCGUGAGCAACCUACCUCUUACAAAGGGAUAGCCUCGGGCAACCGGGAUUAAUACCAUAUAACAUUGCGUCGAAGCAUUUCGAUGCAAUCAAAGCUACGGCGGUAAGAGAUGGGCUCGCGUCCCAUUAACCAUAUGGUGAGGUAACGGCUCACCAUAGUAACGAUGUGUAACCGGCCGGGGAGCGUGAACUGUCACACUGGAACUGAGACACGGUCCAGACUCCGACGGGAGGCAGCAGUGGGGAAUAUUGUACAAUGAAGCGGACUCUGAUGCAGCAACGCCGCGUGAGUGAUGAAGGAAUUCGUUUCGUAAAACUCUGUUCUAUGGGAAGAAAAGGACGGUACCAUAGGAGAAAGCUCCGGCUAAAUACGUG